AUCAGUAGCCGACCUGAGAGGGUGAUCGGCCACAUUGGAACUGAGACACGGUCCAAACUCCUACGGGAGGCAGCAGUGGGGAAUAUUGCACAAUGGGCGCAAGCCUGAUGCAGCAACGCCGCGUGAAGGAUGAAGGCCUUCGGGUUGUAAACUUCUGUCCUAGGGGAAGAAACAAAUGACAUUACCCUUGGAGGAAGCCCCGGCUAACUACGUGCCAGCAGCCGCGGUAAUACGUAGGGGGCGAGCGUUAUCCGGAAUUAUUGGGCGUAAAGAGUGCGUAGGUGGCACCUUAAGCGCAGGGUUUAAGGCAAUGGCUCAACCAUUGUUCGCCUUGCGAACUGGGGUGCUUGAGUGCAGGAGGGGAAAGUGGAAUUCCUAGUGUAGCGGUGAAAUGCGUAGAUAUUAGGAGGAACACCAGUGGCGAAGGCGACUUUCUGGACUGUUACUGACACUGAGGCACGAAAGCGUGGGGAGCAAACAGGAUUAGAUACCCUGGUAGUCCACGCCGUAAACGAUGAGCACUAGGUGUCGGGGUCGCAAGACUUCGGUGCCGCAGUUAACGCAUUAAGUGCUCCGCCUGGGGAGUACGCACGCAAGUGUAAAACUCAAAGGAAUUGACGGGGACCCGCACAAGCAGCGGAGCAUGUGGUUUAAUUCGAAGCAACGCGAAGAACCUUACCAGGACUUGACAUCCUCUUGACAGAUCCUUAAUCGGAUUCUUCUUCGGACAAGAGAGACAGGUGGUGCAUGGUUGUCGUCAGCUCGUGUCGUGAGAUGUUGGGUUAAGUCCCGCAACGAGCGCAACCCUUGCCAUUAGUUGCCAUCAUUUAGUUGGGCACUCUAGUGGGACUGCCGGGGAAAACUCGGAGGAAGGUGGGGAUGACGUCAAAUCAUCAUGCCCCUUAUGUUCUGGGCUACACACGUGCUACAAUGGCCGGUACAACAGGCAGCGAACCCGUGAGGGGGAGCGAAUCCCAAAAGCCGGUCCCAGUUCGGACUGUAGGCUGCAACUCGCCUACACGAAGUUGGAGUUGCUAGUAAUCGCGGAUCAGAAUGCCGCGGUGAAUGCGUUCCCGGGUCUUGUACACACCGCCCGUCACACCAUGGAAGUUGGGGGUGCCCGAAGUCGGUUAGUUAAUCUAUCGCCUAAGGCAAAACCAAUGACUGGGGUGAAGUCGUAACAAGGUAGCCGUAUCGGAAGGUGCGGCUGGAUCA
This 1215-nucleotide ribosomal RNA is filed under the name human oral metagenome. RNAcentral's name for it is "bacterial SSU rRNA". It matches the Rfam family "Bacterial small subunit ribosomal RNA", at positions 279 to 1525 of the family's 1533-position model. The record is from RNAcentral.